RNAcentral lists this transfer RNA (71 nucleotides) under Planctomycetaceae bacterium. RNAcentral describes it as "tRNA-Gln". It matches the Rfam family "tRNA". Rfam says of the family: Transfer RNA (tRNA) molecules are approximately 80 nucleotides in length. The record is from RNAcentral. Lineage: Bacteria; Pseudomonadati; Planctomycetota; Planctomycetia; Planctomycetales; Planctomycetaceae.
UGCCCGAUAGUGUAAUGGCAGCACAACAGAUUUUGAUUCUGUUAGUCCAAGUUCGAAUCUUGGUCGGGUAA